Molecule: ribosomal RNA, 251 nt
Filed under: uncultured bacterium
Lineage: Bacteria
Description: partial 16S ribosomal RNA
Rfam family: Bacterial small subunit ribosomal RNA
Source: RNAcentral
ACGUAGGGGGCAAGCGUUAUCCGGAUUUACUGGGUGUAAAGGGAGCGUAGACGGCUGUACAAGUCUGAAGUGAAAGGCAUGGGCUCAACCUGUGGACUGCUUUGGAAACUGUGCAGCUAGAGUGUCGGAGAGGUAAGUGGAAUUCCUAGUGUAGCGGUGAAAUGCGUAGAUAUUAGGAGGAACACCAGUGGCGAAGGCGGCUUACUGGACGAUGACUGACGUUGAGGCUCGAAAGCGUGGGGAGCAAACAG